Molecule: non-coding RNA, 23 nt
Filed under: Arabidopsis thaliana (thale cress)
Lineage: Eukaryota; Viridiplantae; Streptophyta; Magnoliopsida; Brassicales; Brassicaceae
Source: RNAcentral
GCAAAUUCCUUUCAAGCGUGAUA